CCUACGGGUGGCAGCAGUCGAGAAUCAUUCACAAUGGGGGAAACCCUGAUGGUGCGACGCCGCGUGGGGGAAUGAAGGUCUUCGGAUUGUAAACUCCUGUCAUGUGGGAGCAAAUUAAAAAGAUAGUACCACAAGAGGAAGAGACGGCUAACUCUGUGCCAGCAGCCGCGGUAAUACAGAGGUCUCAAGCGUUGUUCGGAAUCACUGGGCGUAAAGCGUGCGAAGGCUGUUUCGUAAGUCGCGUGUGAAAGGGGCGGGCUCAACCCGCGGACGGCACAUGAUACUGCGAGACUAGAGUAAUGGAGGGGGAACCGGAAUUCUCGGUGUAGCAGUGAAAUGCGUAGAUAUCGAGAGGAACACUCGAGGCGAAGGCAGGUUCCUGGACAUUAACUGACGCUGAGGCACGAAGGCCAGGGGAGCGAAAGGGAUUAGAUACCCCGGUAGUC
RNAcentral lists this ribosomal RNA (446 nucleotides) under uncultured bacterium. Its description in RNAcentral is "partial 16S ribosomal RNA". It matches the Rfam family "Bacterial small subunit ribosomal RNA", at positions 338 to 795 of the family's 1533-position model. The record is from RNAcentral.